GCUUACGGCCAUACCAGCCUGAAUACGCCCGAUCUCGUCCGAUCUCGGAAGCUAAGCAGAGUCGGGCCUGGUUAGUACUUGGAUGGGAGACCGCCUGGGAAUACCAGGUGCUGUAAGCU
Molecule: ribosomal RNA, 119 nt
Organism: Oncorhynchus mykiss (rainbow trout)
Lineage: Eukaryota; Metazoa; Chordata; Actinopteri; Salmoniformes; Salmonidae
Source: Ensembl